RNA transcript from Lolium rigidum, 2780 nucleotides. It is a transcript of the gene named zinc finger CCCH domain-containing protein 53-like, with no coding region annotated. The record is from RefSeq and is a predicted model, not a curated record. The transcript is spliced from 8 exons. Lineage: Eukaryota; Viridiplantae; Streptophyta; Magnoliopsida; Poales; Poaceae.
AACACUGCUAAAAACAUCAGAGGACAAACCCGGUACUUUUUCCCUAAACACCCCCGCCAUGUCCUCCCCAUCACCAGCGACCCCCUCUUCCCCGCGAAAGCCAAGCUGAGCAGCAGCCAGCUUAUAGAUAGAGAGAUUGGGGUACCGCCCGAGGGGGAAGGUGCGCACCACCCUCAACUCUACUAGCAUAGCUAGCUAACCCUCUUCGCUGCCACCCACGACCGCGCGCGAGCUCUGCGGAUUCAUGGAGCUGCUCGUCUCCGGCUCGACCGUACUGUCUAGCUAGUUCUGCGACGAAGGACGAGGAGGAAGGAAGAAGAAGAGGGGGUGUGAGGUUUGCUAGGUUGGUUCUCGCUCGAGUUUGUUCGAUCGGCGCGCGGCAUGGACGCCUACGAGGCGACCAAGGUGGUGUUCGCGCGGAUCCAGGGCCUGGACCCGGACCACGCCGCCAAGAUCAUGGGCCUCCUGCUCAUCCAGGACCACGGCGAGAAGGAGAUGAUACGGCUCGCCUUCGGCCCGGAGGCGCUGCUGCACGCCGUCAUGGCCAAGGCGCGCAAGGACCUCGGCCUGCUCCCGGGGUCGGGGCCGGGCACGCCGACCUCCGCCUCCCAGGCAGGAGGAGGACACUCGCCGUUCAUGCUCUCGCGCCAGAACUCCGGGCGCGGCGGCGGCGGAACGGCGCCCUCGCCGCUCUCGGUCUCCUCGCCGUCCUCGUGGGCCCCGCCGCCCGUGUUCUCGAGGAGCAACAGCGUGAGCAAUGGCGCCGCGGAGGAGAUGGCCGGCGUCAGGGAGGAGCUGAUGAGCCCGGCCAACGGCCCGCCGUCGCCGUUCUUCGGCGGGGACUCGCUGAUCCUCGACGAGCUCCACCUGCAGGACCAGCUCGCCUUCCUCAGCGGCGACGGAGGAGGGCGUCAGCUCCCACAGUUCGACAACGGCGAGUGCCGAAGCCCGGGCGCCAGCGACGGCGGGCUCUUCCCGUACGGCGGCGCAGGGUGGGCCAACGGCGGGCCGGGGCACCGACGGAGCGCGUCCGUGAGCGAGCUCUGCUUCGGCGGCAGCGACGGCCUCGGCUGGAAGCCGUGCCUGUACUACGCGCGCGGGUACUGCAAAAACGGCAGCGCCUGCCGGUUCGUGCACGGCGGCGGCCUCUCCGACGACGCGCUCGUCGGGGCGAAGAUGGACCAGGCCUCCAUGGAGCAGCAGUGCCAGGACUUCCUCCUCCGCUCCAAGUCCCAGCGCCUGGCAGCCGCCGCCGCCGCGUUCCCCUACUCACCCACCGGCUCGCUCCCUGGCUCCCCCUCCGCGGCCAGCAAGUGCUUGAGCUUGCUCCUCCAGCAGCAGCAGCAAAACGAGAGCCAAAGGGCCGCUGCCGCGGCGGCCGCAGCAGCGCUGAUGCUGGGCGGCGACGAGGCGCACAAGUUCAUGGGCCGUCCCCGGCUAGACCGCGCCGACUUCGCCAGCUUGAUGAACCCGGGGUCCCGCCAGAUUUACCUCACCUUCCCGGCGGACAGCACCUUCCGCGAGGAGGACGUCUCCAACUACUUCAGCAUCUACGGCCCCGUCCACGACGUGCGCAUUCCCUACCAGCAGAAGCGCAUGUUCGGGUUCGUCACCUUCGUGUACCCGGAGACGGUGAAGCUGAUCCUGGCCAAGGGCAACCCGCACUUCAUCUGCGACGCCCGCGUGCUCGUCAAGCCCUACAAGGAGAAGGGCAAGGUCCCCGACAAGUUCAGGAAGCAGCCGGGCGUGGACUUCUCCGGCUGCGGCUCUCCCACCGGGUUGGACGCCAGAGACCCCUUCGAUCUGCACCAGCUCGGUGCGAGGAUGCUGCAGCACUCCAACAGCGCCAACGAGAUGCUGCUGAGGAGGAAGCUCGAGGAGCAGCAGCAGGCGGUGGAGCUGCAGCAGGCGAUCGAGCUCCAGAGCCGGCGCCUCAUGGGACUGCAGCUGCUGGACCUCAAGUCACGCUCCUCCGCCGCAGCAGCACCGACUCCGAUCGGCAACCCGUUCAGUCCCAAGCACACCGCUGCCGCCAGCCCUAACCAGUCACCGCCGGAUUCUGGUAAAGACUUCGUGCGAGCGACGGACAACACAAACCAUAUCACUUGUCGGAACAACAACAGAUGCAGUGUUGCUAAUGUUUCUUGCGCUGAUUUCGUAACAGUGGGAGAGCAAGGCAAUGGCUGCGGCUUCCUCUUCCCUCACAAGGCGGUCAACGGAGCCGAUAAGGAUGAAUCCUCCGGCGAUUCCACCAGCCCUAACACUGACAGUGACCAAAGCGCGGAGCAUAACCUGCCGGACAGCCCGUUUGCGUCGCCGACCAAGGCCGCCACGUUCGCCCGUGGCCCUUUCGCGCCCACUGAGGCCGAGAUCUCCGCGGCCACCGCCUCGACCGGUUGCAACGCCGCCUACAUCGGCAUCGGCAAUGGCGUGAGGAAUGGCACUAACCAUCUCCUGCCCCCUGCAUUGGACAUACCCUCACCAAAACCAUACUUCUUCCCCAUGUCCAGGCUGUCCUCCGAUCACGGCGCGAUCGGGAUGUAAAGUAGGCCCUGAAUGGAAGUGAGUAAUACUACUACUACUGCCUAAUCAUAGAAUACUAGCAGCAAAGAAAAGAGAAUAGUGCACAAUAUACUAGGAAAGAAGAGUGAAGAAGUUGCAGCAUAGUUUUAGUUUCAGUCUCGUUUUUCUUUCUUUCUUUUUUCUUUCUUUCUUCCCCGUCUCCUCUCCAAGUUGAUGGUACCAGCACAUUACUAAACCACAAGAGAGAAGGAAAACAA